UCAACCCAUUAUUUUAGUUCUUCUUGGGGAAGUGCCAAGAGGAGCCUCCUAGGAAUCAGAUGGGCUGGAGCAGCUUGAGUAGCAGCUAUUCCAACCAGUAAGACCGAAACAAGAAGUUACAGGUGUACUAAUACUACUGAUGAUGUAGAGCCACAAGAAUUGCCUUGCAAGAUCCACUGAUUACUAGUCCAGCAUGCCAUGAUCCAGAGGAGCAAUCACAUCCAGUCUUUUCCUUUCAGAAGGUGCCCCUAAAGAAUCCCUAAACUUGUUUUAAACUCUCUUGCAUUCAGAAAGCAAUUUGAUUCAACCACUUUUUAAAAAGGAAAAUCCCACUGGUAUGGGAAAAAUGCCAUCUCCAUGAUAAACUCUAGGAGGCAGACUGUCUACAGUUAGUCCCUCUGAUUCUUCCUAGUGAUUGGCAGAACUAAGGAUUUCCUUUAAACAAAGUGAUGUGCCAACAAAAUGCUAAUAUGAACCCAAAAUGUAAGUUGCAAGUGUUUCAGCCCUUAACCUAAACAGAACAGGCGCACAAGUAAUGAUGCUCUGCUACCCACCAGUCACACAACACAUACUGAUGAAACUACGUACUGCUAUAGAUGAGUUUACCGACUUCCUUUCUGCCACCGCCACCCCAUAACCACCUAUCAAGAUAGAAGAUCCUGCAGAACAUGGUGGAACUGCAGCUCUUCUAUAAUGAGGACAACCCAACCCAGUGCAGGGUUGGUUUUUCUUUGAGAAACCCAGUGGGAUUACCUCAGUCGAAAUGUCAAAGUUCUAGUCUGCUAUCAAAAUAAGUGCGGCGUCAUGUUAUCCUUUUAAGAAAGCUACUGUUUUAAAGGCGCAAGCCCUUCUUUUAUGCAGUGAUGGGAAGAUUUCAAGAGAAAUCGCUGUAAUGGCUGAGAGGUUACUUUUCAUAUCAGCAUAUCAAACCUAGAGGCAUGCCAGCUCAGCCACAGAAAGAUCUAUCACCAGAGACACAGAGGAACUGUUUGCAACUGAUGAGUGCACCUGAAUCCCAUUAACAGGCACAAAAUCUCAGCAAGAUAAUCCUCCACUGAAGGGGAAUCCAGUGUUCUCAAGCACAGUGAGUCGUCUGAAGACACAUGAUGUGGUUCUACCAAUGAAGCUAAGCUGGUUUGGCCAGACCCUGGAGGGGAGAAUUCCUGGGAACCAAAUCCCAGAGGGAUAGUGUAUUAAUCUGUUGGAGCAAAUAUAACAAAGAGUCUUCUAGGACAUUAAAGACUAACAAAUACAUUGUCCAGUGGCAGCACCAGAAAAAAACUUGAGGGGAGGGCACAGAAAGGGCAAAGGGCAAUUCUGGGUGGGCAAGCUGUGUCCCACAUGUUAGAUUUCUGAAACAUAAAUGCAGAGGGGGGCAGUUGAGGGGGGCAACUACUUUUCUGAGGAGACACUUGCCCACCAUAGCUACUUCCAAAGCUACAUUAGCGUCCUGCUCUAGCUACAUUAGCAUUCAGAGCGACAUAUAUCUAGAAGUACAGGAUGCAAGAAUCCUUAGUUUUAAAUCUCAGAGUGUAUUAUAAGAAGGAAGGAAGGAAAGGUAAGAAAGUAAGUGUGAAGUUUGUCAGGUCACAGAACACUGUUAGCAAGUCAGAAAGAUUUUAGCAGCUGAUCUCUGCAGUGAGGUAGGGGACUUUCUUCCAUGUACUGUCUAAAAUACUGGAAACGAAAUCACUCCGCUGAUAAUUAGCCUCUGAAGCAAGACAGCUUCAUUACAAAUAUGAUUAACUUAUAAUAAAAUGCUCUGAGUUAAUUAAAAUCUUAUUAGCUCUAAUUGUUUUGCAGUUCAAAUUCAGAUGACAGUUUAGGAAACAGAGGCAAGGUGCCUACCCAGUAUUCUUUUACCAUGUAGAACAACAUUUACAUUUUCCCAGUUCAAAAACUGCUGAUGUCUCAUAUGUGUAAGAGUUUGCACAGCUAUUAGUAAUCAUUGUUGAAAAACAAAGCAGACAUUUACAAGGACAAAAAGACCUAGUUUCAUCACAUUUAAAAGCUUUUCAGGCAAGUGGAUUUUAAAAAAUAGAGAAAGGAAGAGAAGAGAAACAGACAAUUCAGAUCUAUUCCUGCUGUUUUAAAAAAACAACCUACAGCUCUGCCAAAUGCUUUGUGAUUUCAAGCUUCAUAUAUGAUAUAUUGUUUUUACAUCAGUAGCUAUAGAAACAGUCAAUUACUGGACACUUUGUUAUAAAUGCACACAGACAUCCACUUGCUAAGCAACUAAUAACUGCCCAGGACCAUCACCGAAGUUUGAUUAAGUCCAUCUGGACAAAGCUAUAAGAAUGCACAGGUCAUAUAACAAAACAUAGUCUUCAGCUCCCAGAGGAGCUGAUUAUCUCUCUGUCUAAUAGCUAGCUAGUUCUCACCAUUCUUUCUCAGAGCAUAUACAAGAAAUAGAAAGAAAGCAAGAAAUAGAAAGAAGGUUUUUGGGGGGAGUGAAUGUGUAUCUGAUGGAUUGCCUCCUCCCCACCCUGGGUACCUUGCUUUGAUAUGGGAGUGCGGGCGGGGGGGGGAGUUUCUGACAUGCCCCACAAACUAGGAGCAGGCUUUGGGAGACAAGAAAGGGAAGCAAUGACUCAGAGGCAGUUCUCAGGUUCCAGUGAUGUGGCAAUGCAUUUCUGAUGCUUCACCUCCACCACAACAUAAAGCUGGUCCAGGCAAGGAAAGGAGGCAAUGCAGGAGAAGCUGCUGCAGCUGCUGCCACCAUACCCACAGGCCAUUUCCCAAAGCCUUUCUUGCUUCCCUUCCCAACCUCAGCAACCCAAGCAGAGAGAGGAGCCGAGGUCAAAAUCAACAUGACAUGAGAGUUCUGUGAUUCAAAGUUAUUUCUCUUGUUUUAAAAGCAGACAUGAGGGACCUGAUUUGGACUGGGAUUGGGUGGGAGAUGAUUGUUUUUAUUUAACUCUUCACCCACUUACUGAUUCCCUGACUUAAAUCCGAGAAGCUGGUAUAAGUCAUGGAGGGGAACAUUUCCAGCAUAAUGUUUGUGUCUGUGAAUGUUUCCCUCUGUGAAUAAUAGCAGCUUUGGGGAGUGAUUGGGCAGGGCCGCGGCAGGGGUGAAAGAGUUAGAUCCCCACUCCCACCCCGCCACCAUAGCACAGCCCUGAUGCAAAUCAGCACCCACCCCCAGUAGUUUUCUGAAAAAGAAAAAAAUAGGGGGAAUUCCAAAUAUGAAACUCCUAUGUCAUUUCUUGUUUGGUCCUCCCAUCCAUGCAUUCAAGGGAGUCUGUGGACUCAGGCAAUUCAAGGGAGUCUGUGGACUCAGGCAGAAAGGCAGUGCACAUGGUCAAUAACUGGGUAGGGCUAGUGGGCUACCCAGUUUCAUGAGCGGUUUGUACUCCCGAUUCUUUAUCGUCUGCAAAGGUAAAACAAGAGAAGAGGCGCCAGCAGAGAUUGUGUGCUAAGCAGCAGCUGCAUAGGAGUGCUCUGUCCUACCCAGAAGCUAAAUGAGGUAGGAGGGAAAGCCCUCAUAUGCUGCUUAGCACAUGAUCUCUGCUGGUGCCUCCUAUCUUGUGUUUCCGACACAGAUGAUCAAAAAUCGUCUGUCUCCAAUGCUUUCUAACAUCUACAUGAAACUGCUGGGUGAGAGCAUCAGGGGAUUUGGAGCAGGGUGUUAUCGAAAUGCCAAUGACACCCAGAUCUAUUUCUCUAUGACAUUAUCAUCAGGAAAUGGCAUAACCCCCUAAAUGCCUGCCUAUCGGCAGUAAUGGACUGGAUGAGGGAUAAUAAAUUGAAGUUGAACCCAGCAGGACUCAGGGUAAGGGGGUCAUAUUUUGAGGGACAUGAUAGAUCUCCGUGUUCUGGAUGGGUUUGCACUGCCCCCGAAGGACAGGUACAUAACUUGAGAGUGCUUCUGGACCCAGGUCUCACUCUGGCUUCUCAGGUUGAGGCUAUGACCAGGAGCGCUUUCUAUCAACUCUGGUUGAUACAACAGCUUUGUCCGUUCCUGGAAGAUAGUGAUCUCAGAACUCUAGUGCACUCUCUGGUAACGUCUAGGCUUGACUACUGCAGUGCACUCUAUGGAGGGCUGACUUUGUAUGAAAACAUCAGUUAGUUUAAAAAUGCAGCAGCUAGAAUGGUCUCCAGGGUGUCUUAGAGAGACCAUAUCAUGCCUGUUUAAAAGUAAUUGCAUUGGCUGCCAAUAGGUUUCCAGGCAAAAUACAAAGUGCUGGUGAUUGCCUUUAAAGCCCUAAGCCACUUAGGACCGGGUUACCUAAGAGAGCACCUUCUUCUACAUGAUCCCUGCUUGUAUUUUAUAGAUUUUAAAUUUGGUUUGUUUUUAUAUUUUUAGCUUAAUACUUUUAUUGUCAUUUUAUUGUAUGUUUUUUUUAACUUUUGUAAACCGCCUUGUGAUUGUUUUUUAAUGAAAGGUGGUAUAUAUAUGCAACAAUAAAUAAAUAAAUAAAAUAAAAAUCCCCACCGCACAUUAAGGUCAUUGAGAGAGGUUUUUCUCUAUAUGCUCAUCUGGCGGAGACUCAGGAGUGGGCCUUCUCUAGUCGCUCCUAGGCUGUGGAAUGCACUUCCUAUAGACAUUUGUAGUUUGCCUACCAAAAGAGCACUUAAGACGCAUUUUUUUCAGCCAGGCUGUUAGUAAUCUCUAAAUUUUUAAAUUGCUGUUUAUAACAGUUUGUUUUGUUUUGUUUUUCUUGUGUUUAUUUUUGUGAACUGCCUAGAGCCUUUGGAGUCAGGUGGU
Hemicordylus capensis (graceful crag lizard) is the source of this 4708-nucleotide long non-coding RNA. RefSeq lists it as uncharacterized. The record is from RefSeq and is a predicted model, not a curated record. Lineage: Eukaryota; Metazoa; Chordata; Lepidosauria; Squamata; Cordylidae. The transcript has 6 exons.